RNAcentral lists this ribosomal RNA (564 nucleotides) under Clavispora lusitaniae. RNAcentral describes it as "partial large subunit ribosomal RNA". It matches the Rfam family "Eukaryotic large subunit ribosomal RNA", at positions 38 to 669 of the family's 3401-position model. Lineage: Eukaryota; Fungi; Ascomycota; Pichiomycetes; Serinales; Metschnikowiaceae. The record is from RNAcentral.
GCAUAUCAAUAAGCGGAGGAAAAGAAACCAACAGGGAUUGCCCCAGUAACGGCGAGUGAAGCGGCAAAAGCUCAAAUUUGAAAUCCUGCGGGAAUUGUAAUUUGAAGGUUUCGUGGUCUGAGUCGGCCGCGCCCAAGUCCAUUGGAACAUGGCGCCUGGGAGGGUGAGAGCCCCGUAUGGCGCACGCCGACUCUUUGUACACCGCGGCUCCGACGAGUCGAGUUGUUUGGGAAUGCAGCUCUAAGUGGGUGGUAAAUUCCAUCUAAAGCUAAAUAUUGGCGAGAGACCGAUAGCGAACAAGUACAGUGAUGGAAAGAUGAAAAGCACUUUGAAAAGAGAGUGAAACAGCACGUGAAAUUGUUGAAAGGGAAGGGCUUGCAAGCAGACACGGUUUUACCGGGCCAGCGUCGAAAAGGGGGGAGGAACAAGAACUCGAGAAUGUGGCGCGCACCUUCGGGCGCGCGUGUUAUAGCUCGUGUUGACGCCUCCAUCCCUUUUCGAGGCCUGCGAUUCUAGGACGCUGGCGUAAUGGUUGCAAGCCGCCCGUCUUGAAACACGGACCAA